GAUGAACGCUGGCGGCGUGCCUAAUACAUGCCAGUCGAGCGAACGGACGCGAAGCUUGCUUUUCUGAUGUUAGCGGCGGACGGGUGAGUAACACGUGGAUAACCUACCUAUAAGACUGGGAUAACUUCGGGAAACCGGAGCUAAUACCGGAUAAUAUUUUGAACCGCAUGGUUCAAAAGUGAAAGACGGUCUUGCUGUCACUUAUAGAUGGAUCCGCGCUGCAUUAGCUAGUUGGUAAGGUAACGGCUUACAAAGGCAACGAUGCAUAGCCGACCUGAGAGGGUGAUCGGCCACACUGGAACUGAGACACGGUCCAGACUCCUACGGGAGGCAGCAGUAGGGAAUCUUCCGCAAUGGGCGAAAGCCUGACGGAGCAACGCCGCGUGAGUGAUGAAGGUCUUCGGAUCGUAAAACUCUGUUAUUAGGGAAGAACAUAUGUGUAAGUAACUGUGCACAUCUUGACGGUACCUAAUCAGAAAGCCACGGCUAACUACGUG
This 497-nucleotide ribosomal RNA is filed under the name uncultured bacterium. Its description in RNAcentral is "partial 16S ribosomal RNA". It matches the Rfam family "Bacterial small subunit ribosomal RNA", at positions 28 to 507 of the family's 1533-position model. The record is from RNAcentral.